GUCAGGAUGGCUGAGUGGUCUAAGGCACCAGACUUAAGUUCUGGUCUCUGAGAGGAGGCGUGGGUUCGAUUCCCACUCCUGACA
Molecule: non-coding RNA, 84 nt
Organism: Elgaria multicarinata webbii
Lineage: Eukaryota; Metazoa; Chordata; Lepidosauria; Squamata; Anguidae
Source: the annotation of a RefSeq genome assembly